UCCAGCAAAACUCUAGUUCUUAUAUCCAAACCCUUAGGAAACUUAUCUUAAGAAAAUAUUAUACAUAUUUGGUUCUCGUAGUAGUUGGUCCUAAAGUGCUCAUGACACGAAAUUUUCUCCCCAAUUUUUAUGCAUCUGUUGAUACUUGGAAGUACGUUGAAAAUAAUGAAGAAUCAUCUCGUUCCCAAGUUUGUAUUUUUGUGUUACGACUGUUUGUGCUUAGGAGAAAGUCCAAUAUCUCAGAAGUGAUUCAGUUUGGUUCAUGCAUGCAGUUAACAAGUGCGCCCAAGCAAACAUUUUGAAACGUUUAUGUGGUUUUAAAACUUUCAAAAUAAAACUUUCGUUCCAAAUGGGUCUAUACACGGCAGACAUUACCAAAAUAAGAAGAGCGAGCCCUGGUAACUAGUGUGUUGCUAUACAACCAUACAAACGUUCCAAAAUGUUUGCUUAGGUGCUCUCACUAACUUACCAAAUUUCAUUUCAUUUCGUUAAAUCACUUUUGAGAUAUUAGACUUUCUUCCUUUUGCCAUCUUCAGCACAACCAGCACGUCAUAACACAAAAAUACAAUUCGUGUCAUGAGCACUCUAAGUUUGCAUCCAUGUCUUUCCUAUCUAUCUAUCAGACAAUAUAGUUUAUACAUAAGAAAUAAGUACUGAAUCUGACUCGUAUUUUAUGAGUACACAUAUCAAAGUAAAUGAUUUAGCCAUGUAGUGUACAUUAUUAAUUUUGCGUUACAUCUUGGUCCAUUUCAUCUCGCCGGAAAAAGCACAGUAAAGCCAUCAAAGAUCUUCGAUAGUUUGGCAACCUUAUUGCAUAAAUUAUUGGAUUAACAGCAAAGUUAACAAUUUCCACUGGGAAAUAAUAUUUUAUAAAUGUUCCUAACAUAUUCUUAUCAAG
Paramuricea clavata is the source of this 898-nucleotide non-coding RNA. Lineage: Eukaryota; Metazoa; Cnidaria; Anthozoa; Malacalcyonacea; Plexauridae. The record is from the annotation of a GenBank genome assembly.